ACUCAAAUGAAUUGACGGGGACCCGCACAAGCAGCGGAGCAUGUGGUUCAAUUCGACGCAACGCGAAGAACCUUACCUGGGCUUGACAUGUAGGUGACAGCCGUGGAAACACGGUCUCCCUUCGGGGCACCUUCACAGGUGGUGCAUGGCUGUCGUCAGCUCGUGCCGUGAGGUGUUGGGUUAAGUCCCGCAACGAGCGCAACCCCCGUCUCAUGUUGCCAGCGGGUAAUGCCGGGGACUCAUGAGAGACUGCCGGUGACAAACCGGAGGAAGGUGGGGAUGACGUCAAGUCAUCAUGCCCCUUAUGCUCAGGGCUACACACGUGCUACAUUGGCCAGUACAGAGGGUUGCGAUGCCGUGAGGUGGAGCCAAUCCCAAAAAGCUGGUCUCGGUUCGGAUUGGAGGCUGAAACUCGCCUCCAUGAAGGUGGAGUUGCUAGUAAUCGCGGAUCAGCAACGCCGCGGUGAAUACGUUCCCGGGUCUUGUACACACCGCCCGU
RNAcentral lists this ribosomal RNA (499 nucleotides) under uncultured bacterium. RNAcentral's name for it is "partial 16S ribosomal RNA". It matches the Rfam family "Bacterial small subunit ribosomal RNA", at positions 899 to 1397 of the family's 1533-position model. The record is from RNAcentral.